Molecule: long non-coding RNA, 1047 nt
Organism: Gopherus flavomarginatus (Mexican gopher tortoise)
Lineage: Eukaryota; Metazoa; Chordata; Testudines; Testudinidae
Exons: 2
Source: RefSeq, a predicted model, not a curated record
UAUGUAACUGGACCCCAUAAAAGGGCAAUUGUGCAAUAAGCACCCAAUAAAACCCAAAGGACCGUAACUCAAAUUGCACCCAUACUGGGGGGAGGUGGCAAAAGAACGAUGGAAAGUACCAAGAGACCCUAACUCUCUAAUUCCUAAUAAGGUUGUUAUCUACAUGUGUAUAACUUAAUUCCUAAUACGGACAAUUAUUACUUAACUGUGUGUAAUUUGUUUGCGGUUUUAAGGUCUAAAAGGCUGCUGCGCGCUUAUCAUCAGGGGAGCAGUUCCAAUACUGCUACCCUCAACGCGUUGGUGUGUUAUCAAUGGGCCUCAGGCUUGAGUCUCUCAACUAAAAGUGAUGCGUGGGUGAAUUUUCCACAACAUGGGGAACCAUGGCCAACGGGAGCUUCAGGGGAGGUACUCACAGGUAAGAGUGGCAUGCAGAGCCCUCUGCCCCUCCCUGCCCUAGGGACCACAGGGACCUGGUGCCAGCCAGUUCCUGGAGCGGCGCGGGGCUGGGGGCCUGUCCUGGCCCCGGUGCAUGCCACUGCCACCCCGGAGCUGCUACAGCCGUGCAAGGAGAUGGCACUAGAGAAGCACUUUUCCUCCCAUUCUGAGCUCUCCAUUUAUAAAUUACAUACCUCAUUAAGGCUUGGACCCCAAGAACAGCCACAGAGAAGGGGAUGCACUGGAGAGGCCAGGUCCCAGAAUCCUUAGAGUGGCUGUUCCUAGCUAAAGACAAUGAACAUGACACAGGAGGUAAGCACUGGAGUCACCACACCAAUGACCAGACACGUCCUGAUAUCAUGCCAGCAUGCGGAAACUUCCUGUGAGAUUUGCACCAGAUCAAGUAAAGCAAUAAACAUGGAAAUAGUCCUAUAUUUGGAGAAUAACCUAAAGAGCUAAGAUGAGUAAUUUUAUACACCCUAGCAGCUUAUAUUGUUCUUUAUGCUUUUCUGAGCAGGUUAAAGUGGCUGUGAAAAGAGGCUGUUUAACUGCACAGUGUAAAGAAAAAAAAUCUUAUAAAAGCCACACAAAAAAAUAAAGUUGGUGAUUUCA